AUAUCAGUGCACUGGAUGAAUUGUAAGAUUUGUUUUUAUCUUUCCUAUUGAACAGAUUCCUGCAGGUUACUUUUUUGAGCAUCUUACAGCAUCUUCGGAUCAGCCAACAAAGAAAUUUCUUUUGGACACAGCAUGUGGUCAAAUGAAGAUUCUGUUCAAAGUGACACGAAAUCAGAAAUAUUGGCUAUAUAACAGGCAAAACCCACUCGCAUGCAGAAAAAGAGGGAAUGGACCAAGACUACUGUAGAUACCAGGAUUGAUGAAGUCCAGUCCCCAGGCAACUACUUCACAUAAGAAAGUAGAUGUCCUCUUAGGAUUGCCCAGGGUACUACACAACCCCUUACAGUUUUAUCUGAAGGUUUAGGGCUUGGAGGCACCCAAGCAGCAAAGCAUA
Molecule: long non-coding RNA, 394 nt
Filed under: Numida meleagris (helmeted guineafowl)
Lineage: Eukaryota; Metazoa; Chordata; Aves; Galliformes; Numididae
Description: lncRNA (ENSNMEG00000018342.1)
Source: RNAcentral